AUACUUACCUGAUCAUGAGGGUGAUUUUCCCAGGGUGAGGUUUAUGCAUUACACUCCAGAUAUACCGAACCCUGCAAUUUCUCCAAAUGUGGGAAACUCUACCUCAUAGUUUGUGGUGGUGGGUGAUUGUGUUCUCACUUUCCCUUA
This is a small nuclear RNA of Balaenoptera musculus (blue whale), 147 nucleotides long. Its record names the gene U1. It matches the Rfam family "U1 spliceosomal RNA". From Rfam's summary of the family: U1 is a small nuclear RNA (snRNA) component of the spliceosome (involved in pre-mRNA splicing). Its 5' end forms complementary base pairs with the 5' splice junction, thus defining the 5' donor site of an intron. There are significant differences in sequence and secondary structure between metazoan and yeast U1 snRNAs, the latter being much longer (568 nucleotides as compared to 164 nucleotides in human). NCBI's taxonomy places the organism in Eukaryota, Metazoa, Chordata, Mammalia, Artiodactyla, Balaenopteridae. The record is from Ensembl.